This 374-nucleotide unclassified non-coding RNA is filed under the name uncultured Gammaproteobacteria bacterium. RNAcentral's name for it is "contains 16S-23S intergenic spacer region". The record is from RNAcentral. Lineage: Bacteria; Pseudomonadati; Pseudomonadota; Gammaproteobacteria.
UCCGGUUUGUCACCGGCAGUCUCACUAGAGUGCCCUUUCGUAGCAACUAGUGACAAGGGUUGCGCUCGUUGCGGGACUUAACCCAACAUCUCACGACACGAGCUGACGACAGCCAUGCAGCACCUGUGUUACGGCUCCCUUUCGGGCACACCGAACUUUCAUCCGGCUUCCGUACAUGUCAAGGGUAGGUAAGGUUCUUCGCGUUGCAUCGAAUUAAUCCACAUCAUCCACCGCUUGUGCGGGUCCCCGUCAAUUCCUUUGAGUUUUAACCUUGCGGCCGUACUCCCCAGGCGGUCAACUUCACGCGUUAGCUUCGUUACUAAUGGGUUUAACCCCACCAACAACCAGUUGACAUCGUUUAGGGCGUGGACUAC